AAGGAUUUGAAAUAAAAUUAGAUGGAAAAUCUUGCUCACUAAAAAUAUGUCAACUGGCAGAUGAUACUCAAUUGUUUUUAAAAACACGCAAAGAUAUAAGUAUUGCCCUUAAUAUCAUUGAAACUUUUGGAAGCCUUUCUGGACUCAAACUGAAUAGAAACAAAACAGAAGGCUUAUGGCUUGGCAAAUUUAAAAAGUCAAAAGAUAAAUUUGAAAAUAUAAACUGGAAACAAGACCACAUUAAAAGUCUAGGAAUAUAUUUUGGAUACAAUUAUCAAGAAUGUCAAAAAUUAAACACAGAGAAACAAAUAGAUAAAUGUGAAAAAAUUGAUUCAAGGAUGGAACAAACGAAACUUAACAUUAUUAGGAAAAAUUACUGUAGUAAAGUCCCUAAUUUUACCAAACCUAACAUACACAGCAUCAUGUAUGAUAAUAACACAUGAAAUAAAACAAAAGUUCAAAAAUUUAAUAUAUAAUUUUAUAUGGAGCG
This 490-nucleotide long non-coding RNA is filed under the name Mytilus galloprovincialis (Mediterranean mussel). The record is from RNAcentral. Lineage: Eukaryota; Metazoa; Mollusca; Bivalvia; Mytilida; Mytilidae.